UACAAGUUUUAUGUCUAAUAAAUAGUUCAGUUAAAUUUGGAAGAUGCAUCAAGGGAAUAAAUAAAUUAGUUUUAUUGUAAAUACAUUAAAAAUAAAUUACUCGUAAUUUUAAGGCGAGUGGCUCCCCCCAUCUAUUUCCUGUUCCGGUUCGCGAAGCGCUCGUAGAUUUUCAGCUGCGUAUGAGAAACCAUCACGUUGCAACAACGGUGAGAAAGAAAAAAGUUUACCAUCGGAUGGAAAAGUGCCCGAAAACUUUGUGCUUGAGCUCGGAUAAAGUCCUCCAACCCUUCAGUGCUGCCGAGUGAUCGCCGAUUUCGAAAGUGGCGAAAAGUGAGUUUAAUCAGCUUCAUAGCUGUAAAGUUGUUAGCCCGCGUGCUACUGUUAGCUUUAGCAUCACGUUGCUAACACGUAGCAGCUACGUCGCCGGGAAGCGCGGUGUUUGAGUCAGCUCUUACUUCGUCUGAAAGAGUCUGGCGAUUAGCUUGGGUGCAGCUGUGCUGAGUGUCUGAGCUCAAGUGAUUUGAAGAUUGGUCAGGUUUUUUUCCCCCUUCUUUUGUGUACCCCCCUCGACCUC
This is a long non-coding RNA of Melanotaenia boesemani (Boeseman's rainbowfish), 574 nucleotides long. RefSeq lists it as uncharacterized. NCBI's taxonomy places the organism in Eukaryota, Metazoa, Chordata, Actinopteri, Atheriniformes, Melanotaeniidae. The record is from RefSeq and is a predicted model, not a curated record. The transcript has 3 exons.